Molecule: ribosomal RNA, 235 nt
Filed under: uncultured Staphylococcus sp.
Lineage: Bacteria; Bacillati; Bacillota; Bacilli; Caryophanales; Staphylococcaceae
Description: partial 16S ribosomal RNA
Rfam family: Bacterial small subunit ribosomal RNA
Source: RNAcentral
GGUGAGUAGCACGUAGAUAACCUACCUAUAAGACUGGGAUAACUUCGGGAAACCGGAGCUAAUACCGGAUAAUAUAUUGAACCGCAUGGUUCAAUAGUGAAAGACGGUUUUGCUGUCACUUAUAGAUGGAUCCGCGCCGCAUUAGCUAGUUGGUAAGGUAACGGCUUACCAAGGCAACGAUGCGUAGCCGACCUGAGAGGGUGAUCGGCCACACUGGAACUGAGACACGGUCCAG